Molecule: long non-coding RNA, 3031 nt
Organism: Cydia strobilella
Lineage: Eukaryota; Metazoa; Arthropoda; Insecta; Lepidoptera; Tortricidae
Exons: 2
Source: RefSeq, a predicted model, not a curated record
AAACGUCAAAGCAAAGUGUUCUUGACGUUCUUGUUGACUUGUGUUUUGUAAAAAGAAAGAAUUUAAUUCGAGAGAAUAGUUUGGCUGCAUAUUUUUUAUAACUGAGAUCGUAAAUAUCUAUUAUAAUGUCACGUGCGUAUGAGGAUUAUUUAUGCUAUUUUACAAUUUCUAAUAAAGUGGUGGUGUCCAAAAGGGAUUACAGUGCUUUAUGGAGGUGAUAUUAAGAACAAUAAUGAGUGAGAAUAGUGUGACGGGUAUAUUCAUAAAUACGAGAGGCAAUUCAAAGCUAUUCAUAUACCAAAACCACACAUUCAGGUUUAUGUAUAAGAAGGCGUAUGGGAGCCAGCUGUGGUAUUGCUGGUACUUCUUCAGCAGAUGUUGUCCGGCGAAGCUCCGGAUAAAUGAUGCGGGGAAGGUGACGGAGAGCAUAGGCCGGCAUAACCAUGACCCUCCGACCUGCUGGAUGACUCCCGAUGGCAAGUCGUACAACUUGCCGCCGCUGCCCUGCAAAAACAACGACCGAAGAACGCCAUAAGGCUUCUACAAACUUUGCAACUAAUGGUAUGCGAUUUCAAAUAAUUGCUGGCUAAAUAGGAGCAAUACUGCACUACUACAUUAUUACUAUAGAUCUCAGUACGGGGGUGACAACGUCACUGAGACGUAACCCCAUCCUUAAAAAAAAAAGGGGGGGGGGACGAUGCCGCAAUGUAUUGCAAAUCGCAUGCAAUUAUCGUUAACGUUUGGAGAGGCCUACAACCUAAUUAUCAUGUAAUGAAAACAUUUUUUUAUUGGUUCACUGCCCUGUAAAUAUGAGAACAAAGUUUAUAUUUAAGUAAAUAUAAUUAUGUUGAGAUUCUAUUUGCCUUUAUAUUUUUAUUGUUAUUAUGAAUUGGUUAACAUUUUUAGAUUAAUUAGGCUAAGCAUGUCCACAAAUUAUUCAAAGAAUGAGAUAUUUGUUAUUGAUAGGUGCAUAAAUUAUCUAAAUUGAUGUUUUAUAUGUACAUGUUUUAUUUUAUUUGCCAUAAAAAUAUAAAAAUGUCUGGUUUAAUGCCCAGUGAGACAUCUCUCAAAAAUGUAAUAUAAUUUUUUUAACACAUUGGUUAACUGGGUAACAUUUGUGGCGUUUUUAAACAAAAGGUAUCAUUUUUAACUGUAUUGUGGUACCUUUUGGUUUAGAAAACGAUGUUAUAAUUAGCUCUUGGGAGAUAGCUGGACUUUACAAAGGCCACCGUGUGGCUACCUGGCGUUGACACCAGAACGGUGGAUAAACUCGUAUCUAGAUUAAUUCAUUAUCCGCACACUUCCACAUUAGUUUACUGCAUAAUAAGCUAUCAGUAUUACACUUUAAACAACGUUAAUGAGCAAAAGCAAAGAAAUUAAUUACGACCCGAUAUCACCAAGAUGGCGGUCCACAAGAAUAUAUUAUUUUAUGAAAAUUAUGACUGAAUCAGCUUAAAACUACCUACGCUCAAGAGCAAUAGGGUAUUUGACUACUAGUCAAAUCAGUUUCUUUUUUCGAACUGUCAAAACGAUUUUGCUACUAUGGAAUUUAUAUGAAACACUAGCAUGUGACGUCACAAUCAAAUUACCUACUCUUUAUAGCUUUAUACGAGUUUUAAAAUAGAAAUUGUGUCUAAAAAUAACUGCUGUCUACGUUACUCCAUUAAUCUUCUGGUGCUUUAUUUCAUACAUGUUGUUAAACAAUUUAUUUUAAAUACAGUCAAAUACCCUAUAAUAAAGUUGACACUUGAUGUUACGCUCUUACGCUAGCGAAUGCAUGAACUUGUCCAUCUCGCUCGCACUGGACGUGUUGGUGCGUUCGAGUUCACGCAGUCGCUAGCGUAAAUGUCAACUCAUGGUAGCCGUGCUGCGCAUUUUCAUAAGAUGCAUUUUUUGACAGAUAUAAAGUGAUGUUAAAAGUCAUGACAGCAUUUGUUAAUACUCUAGUUCCUCAAACAUGCAUUAUACUUAUAUAUUAAUGAAUACUAAUUUAAGUUUUAGUUAAUUACAUGCAAUAUUGUAUGUGUGGUAUUUUCUAUAAAAAGGGACCUUAUUGUCGAUGGCACUUACGCCAUUAUAAACGAUGCUCCGAUAUAAAUACAUGCCGCGCGGCGUAAGCGCCAUCGACAAUAAGGUCCCUUUUCAUAGAAAAUGCCCCAUAUAUCCUGCAUAAUUUCUAUAGGUUUAGUUGGAACCGAACUAAGUAAUUCGAAAUGCAAUUGUCACGGAAAUCAACCUAUAUCUAUACCGUGUCCAUGUUAUGUCUGAUCAUACUCUGAGCUGUGAAUAUGUAAGUAUAGGUCGAACAACUUUUUCUAUUUACCACCAAAAUUUCAAAAAAAUCAGCUGUCUCAUAAGCUCCCUCCACACUCGUGCGCGAAGCCGCGAACGCGAGUGUGGAGUCUAGUUCGCUAAUUAGCGAAAUUGACUCCACACUCGCGUUCGCGGCUUCGCGCCGCGUAGUCUGUAGCGGGCUAUACAUGUUGGCGAAUGAUAUGUCGAUAAUUUCUAUGGGUCAGCGGUGAUAUGUCGGUGAUUUCUAUGGGUCAGCGGUUUUUUUUUGCGCGAUUUCAGGGUCGGCCCCAUAAUAAAAGUUGUUCAGUAUGAUCUACUCGUACAUAUUUGGGGCAUUUUCUACGAAAAGGGACCUUAUUGUCGAUGGCGCUUACGCCGCACAGCGUCGCGCGGCAUUGUAUUUAUAUCGCAGCCUCGUUUAUAAUGGCGUAAGCGCCAUCGACUAUGAGGUCCCUUUUUAUAGAAAAUACCACAUUUCUCUUUAGAGUAUGAUCCGACAUAACAUAACAAAAAUAUCCUGUAUAAAAAUACGCAUUAUUAUGUACACUGUGUACAUUAAGUUUACAACUUGUUACUUAAUAGGUAGUUUAAUUUUGAAAUAAUCCAAAAUCAGGCAUAGAUAGUUAACAAAUUUAUAACGUGCCUCUAGUAGGUAGAAUUUAGGUAAAUAAAAAUUGUUUCGUGCCUUUUUAAAUUGUUUAUAUGUAUGUUUACCAAAUAUAAAACUAAACUGUGA